CCGUGGGCGCUUCGCCUUGAGUUGUUGCCACGGGUCUGGGGAUUGGAGAGCCAGGAGCUGGCACCUGGGCCACCAAGACUGUGGCCAGAGGAGCCGAUCAGAGUCCUUGACAGGUGAGUCUCCAUUUCAUCUCGUUCUUUCUGCACUGACUGAAGAUGCCCCUCAAGAUCUGCCAUCUGCUGGUGAACCAGGGACAUCUCCCUCUGCAGUCGAAGUGAAUUGUGUCCUCCCUGGAGUCAGCCUCUCUCUGCAGCUCCUCCAGCUUUGCUUGUAGCUCAUC
Long non-coding RNA from Peromyscus californicus insignis, 280 nucleotides. RefSeq lists it as uncharacterized. The transcript has 3 exons. The record is from RefSeq and is a predicted model, not a curated record. Lineage: Eukaryota; Metazoa; Chordata; Mammalia; Rodentia; Cricetidae.